UUUUUUCAAUUUAAGUGACAAUCGAAACAAGAUUAUUUUUAUUGAAAAUUCAGAGUCAUCAGUUGGGAUAAUUAAUGGUGUCCCAAGUCACCGGUUCAAAUCCCGAAUCGAGGAAAGAUUGACUCUGUUUACGAUUUAAGAACACAGAAAUUCUGGUAAGGAAUUCUGUUAACCCGGGAGAAGGUAUUAGGCAAUUCUCGAGUUCCGUGGUUCUAGCACGGUCGCUUUGAUCAUACUUGGUUUAUUAAAUUAUUUAAUU
This 259-nucleotide long non-coding RNA is filed under the name Nicotiana benthamiana. Its description in RNAcentral is "long non-coding RNA (NBEN_LNC033805)". The record is from RNAcentral. Lineage: Eukaryota; Viridiplantae; Streptophyta; Magnoliopsida; Solanales; Solanaceae.